UGCGCGUGUGCGUGCGUGCACGGGUCGGUGCAUGUGUGCGUGCGUGGGUCGGUGUGUGCGUGCGUGCGUGCGUGCGCGGGUCGGUGCAUGUGUGCGCGUGCGCGUUUCCUGAUGCUGUUGCCAGGCAACGCUCCAGGGGCCCUAAUCUCCUGCACCUGCCUCUGUGCCGCACAUUCAUCUGGGACAGAGUCUGUUGGAGUGAAGCCUGAUGGCGUGCGUGCGUGCGUGUGUGUGUGGAAUGGACCAGCUCUGAGUCUGUUUGGGUCAGCAGCAAUGUUGGGUGGGGUCAGGUCAGGUCAUCUGGGCUAACUGGAACAUCAAGCUUCUGUGUGUCGGGAACGGAGUGUGAACUCCACCCACCGUCUACAUCAGCAACCCUCUCCUCCUCAAACACAUUUGUCUUAAGACUGGUAACACACACACACACACACACAGAUACAUUAUGACUGGUAACACACACAUGCACACACGCACAUUUGAGUCUUAGUGUUUGUAUGUUGCACAGUUCUGAUUGAUGCCCGCGUGUUAGUUCAUGCCAUAACAGCGGGACGGCUGUAGAACUUUCUGUAGGCUCAUCGUCUGCUUUUACGCAGACUACAGACUGCCCUCGAGUUGACCAGGGGCAGUUACCUACAAUCACCAUGGCAACGGGCCUGUCCACCACCAUGUCUGAACAGCUGCAAAGCAAACUAGUCAUGCCAUCAGUGGUGCUUUCCUUAGUGGCUGUACAUUUGGGACCCACACAUGAGCUACCUUAUUGCGUUAGCAUGUAGCGUAGCUGUCAUCAGAGCUACCUUAUUGCGUUAGCAUGUAGCGUAGCUGUCAUCAGAGCUACCUUAUUGCGUUAGCAUGUAGCGUAGCUGUCAUCAGAGUUGCCUUAGCAUGUAGCGUAGCUGUCAUCAGAGUUACCUUAUUGCGUUAGCAUGUAGCGUAGCUGUCAUCAGAGUUACCUUAUUGCGUUAGCAUGUAGCGUAGCUGUCAUCAGAGCUACCUUAUUGCGUUAGCAUGUAGCGUAGCUGUCGGUCUGUAGGGGUUGAAUGGCUGCUGACCUUUAGCCUUGCGAUAGAAAAGGAGAAGGCUAAGGACGAGGGAUCCCAAAACACUAGAGCUUAUCUGCGCUGUUGUGGCUGUUUGACUUAAUUAUUAUUUUGUGUUUUUGAUUGUUUUCUGGCAUGCAUGUGUUUUGGGUUUUUGCUCUGUUUACGUUAGCUGUGUAUGGGGCAGAGAACUCUGGGUAAUGUAGUUAUGAGAGUUAUGAGCCUUCACUGCCUCUGCCUUUGAGGGGGUCCAGCAGAUUCCCUCUCUCUCUCUCUCUCUCUCUCUCUCUCUCUCUCUCUCUCUCUCUCUCUCUCUCUCUCUCUCUCUCUCCCUCUGUCUUUGUCUCUUUUUAUCUGUCUGUCUGUCUUUCUCUCUUUCUGCUUCACUGUAAAUGCCAACAGUCAUCACUCGGUUAUUUCCAGGCUUCUGUCUUGUUCUCUGCUUAUUUGCGUGCGUGCGUGCGUAGCUCCUGUCUUGCUCUCUGCUUAUUUGCGUGCGUGCGUGCGUGCGUGCGUAGCUCCUGUCUUGUUCUCUGCUCUGUGUGGAAGUUGGUUUUGGGGUCUAUGGGACUUUUCAGCGCUGCAGCUUAAUGAGCCGUGUGUGUGGAAGGGUCGUGUGUGUGUGUGCUGGGUGAGCCGUGUGUGUGGGACUAAAGGUGUGUGUGCUUGAUUGAUAUUUGUUUGGCUGUUUUUAUGUGUGUAGGGGGUGCUUGAAUAGUUUUAAUUUGGUGUAUAUGUGGGGGGUUGAUUGCAUGAGAAUUUUCUGUGUGUGUGUGUCAGCAGUGCAUUAACGUAAAGGAUGGAAACGUGGUGAACAGGGCAAAUCUAAUUACUCUAAGGGCUCUGAGAAACAGCUCAUUGUGAGAAAGCCCUCUUUGCCUCAGCAGAGUUGCUGCUGGUCAUUUCCGUUUCCACCACUAGAGGGUGACGUCUGCACAUGCACUGGUGUGUGUCGACCCCCUGCACCCAACAGCAGUCUGAGGCGUCUCCCACUCUAAACCACCCCAGUCCAGAUGUGCUGUUCCUCAGCAUUAAAGACUCUACUAAACUCCGCUGGCAUUGCGUUACCAUAGCGUUGCGUUAGCAUAGCGUUGGCUGUGCCAUCUGGGCAGCGUUGGUUGGCAGUGCCAUCUGGGCAGCAUUGUAACUAAUUAUUAAUCCAUUGGCAACAGACUGAUGGAGAUUUGACCAAUAACAUGAAUAAUAUCAAAUAUUACUGAUGACAAUGAAAGUACUGAUCAAAGUCAAACAAAUCAGGCAAUCUGGAUGGCAUACUGUGUUAGUUUAGAAGAUAAAAAGGUUGAUUUCCUUGCUACGGGGGAAGCUGCUUGCUUUAGUAGGAUUUGAAAUGCCCAAAUGGGCCUGUGGGGGCGCUGUUCUCUUCUGUGUUCUCUGCUGUGGAUGCUCUCUCUUUUAUACAGCCGGCAUAACAUGAACAAUGCCUCCUGAUUUUACAACAAACUUUAUAUGCAAAAUUGAUUAAAUUUUCGAUUGAUGAAGUGUUCGAUAAUGUAAAAUAAAGCCUAUUUUGAUACCACUGA
This is a long non-coding RNA of Alosa sapidissima (American shad), 2578 nucleotides long. RefSeq lists it as uncharacterized. NCBI's taxonomy places the organism in Eukaryota, Metazoa, Chordata, Actinopteri, Clupeiformes, Clupeidae. The record is from RefSeq and is a predicted model, not a curated record. The transcript has 2 exons.